GCCUGGGUGGCUCAGUCGGUUAAGCGUCUGACUUCGGCUCAGGUCAUGAUCUCACGGUCCGUGAGUUCGAGCCCCGCGUCGGGCU
This is a non-coding RNA of Felis catus (domestic cat), 85 nucleotides long. The record is from Rfam. Lineage: Eukaryota; Metazoa; Chordata; Mammalia; Carnivora; Felidae.